AGUGAACGCUGGCGGUAGGCCUAACACAUGCAAGUCGAACGGCAGCACAGAGGAGCUUGCUCCUUGGGUGGCGAGUGGCGGACGGGUGAGGAAUACAUCGGAAUCUACUCUGUCGUGGGGGAUAACGUAGGGAAACUUACGCUAAUACCGCAUACGACCUACGGGUGAAAGCAGGGGACCUUCGGGCCUUGCGCGAUUGAAUGAGCCGAUGUCGGGUUAGCUAGUUGGCGGGGUAAAGGCCCACCAAGGCGACGAUCCGUAGCUGGUCUGAGAGGAUGAUCAGCAAGACUGGAACUGGGACACGGUCCAGACUCCUACGGGGGGCAGCGGUGGGGAAUAUUGGACAAUGGGCGCAAGCCUGAUCCAGCCAUACCGCGUGGGUGAAGAAGGCCUUCGGGUUGUAAAGCCCUUUUGUUGGGAAAGAAAUCCAGCUGGCUAAUACCCGGUUGGGAUGACGGUACCAAAGAAUAAGCACCGGCUAACUUCGUGCCAGCCGCCGCGGUAA
RNAcentral lists this ribosomal RNA (505 nucleotides) under uncultured bacterium. RNAcentral describes it as "partial 16S ribosomal RNA". It matches the Rfam family "Bacterial small subunit ribosomal RNA", at positions 29 to 523 of the family's 1533-position model. The record is from RNAcentral.